This 440-nucleotide ribosomal RNA is filed under the name uncultured bacterium. RNAcentral's name for it is "bacterial SSU rRNA". It matches the Rfam family "Bacterial small subunit ribosomal RNA", at positions 338 to 795 of the family's 1533-position model. The record is from RNAcentral.
CCUACGGGGGGCUGCAGUGGGGAAUAUUGCACAAUGGGCGCAAGCCUGAUGCAGCGACGCCGCGUGAGCGAUUAAGGCCUUCGGGUCGUAAAGCUCUUUCCUAAGGGAAGAAUAAUGACGGUACCUUAGGAGGAAGCCCCGGCUAACUACGUGCCAGCAGCCGCGGUAAUACGUAGGGGGCGAGCGUUAUCCGGAAUCACUGGGCGUCAAGGGUGCGUAGGCGGCCCUGCAAGUCAGGAGUUAAAUCCCUCGGCUCAACCGAGGUCAGCUCUUGAAGAUGUAGGGCUUGAGUGCAGGAGAGGAGGGCGGAAUACGUAGUGUAGCGGUGAAAUGCGUAGAUAUUAGGAGGAACAGAAGGGGCGAAGGCGGCUAUCUGGACUGCAACUGACGCUGAGGCACGAAAGCGUGGGGAGCGAACAGGAUUAGAUACCCGUGUAGUC